This is a small nucleolar RNA of Otolemur garnettii (small-eared galago), 85 nucleotides long. The record is from Ensembl. Lineage: Eukaryota; Metazoa; Chordata; Mammalia; Primates; Galagidae.
GCGACCAGUGAUGAGGACUUCUCCCACUCGUGUUCGAGUUUUCCUACUAUGAGAUAACUCUACAUGCACUACCAUCUGAGGCUAC